AACGCGAAGAACCUUACCUGGGCUUGAACCGCACAGGACCAGCUCCAGAAAUGGGGCCUUCCCGCAAGGGACCUGUGUAGAGGUGCUGCAUGGCUGUCGUCAGCUCGUGCCGUGAGGUGUUGGGUUAAGUCCCGCAACGAGCGCAACCCUUACUCAUAGUUGCUACCCGCAAGGGAGAACUCUAUGAGGACUGCUCCGGAUAACGGAGAGGAAGGUGGGGAUGAGGUCAAGUCAGCAUGGCCUUUAUGUCCAGGGCUACACACGUGUUACAAUGCGCGCCACAAAGCGUUGCAAACCCGCGAGGGGGAGCUAAUCGCAAAAAAGCGCGCUCAGUUCGGAUUGCAGUCUGCAACUCGACUGCAUGAAGCCGGAAUCGCUAGUAAUGGCGCAUCAGAACGGCGCCGUGAAUACGUUCCCGGGCCUUGUA
Molecule: ribosomal RNA, 427 nt
Filed under: uncultured Acidobacteriota bacterium
Lineage: Bacteria; Pseudomonadati; Acidobacteriota
Description: bacterial SSU rRNA
Rfam family: Bacterial small subunit ribosomal RNA
Source: RNAcentral